Molecule: ribosomal RNA, 503 nt
Filed under: uncultured bacterium
Lineage: Bacteria
Description: bacterial SSU rRNA
Rfam family: Bacterial small subunit ribosomal RNA
Source: RNAcentral
GAUGAACGCUAGCGGCAGGCUUAACACAUGCAAGUCGAGGGGCAUCGAGAGUAGCAAUACUUGUCGGCGACCGGCGCAAGGGUGCGUAACACGUGAGCAACAUACCCGUUUCAGGAGGAUAACCGGAGGAAACUCUGCCUAAUACUCCAUGACAUCAUCAAACGGCAUCGUUUGAUGAUUAAAGAUUUAUCGGAAACGGCUUGGCUCGCGGGACAUUAGCUCGUUGGUGAGGUAACGGCUCACCAAGGCCACGAUGUCUAGGGGUUCUGAGAGGAAGGUCCCCCACACUGGAACUGAGACACGGUCCAGACUCCUACCGGGAGGCAGCAGUGAGGAAUAUUGGACAAUGGGGGCAACCCUGAUCCAGCCAUGCCGCGUGAGUGAAGAAGGCCUUCGGUGUAAAGCUCUUCGGUCCGGGAAGAAAGUACGCAUGGGCGUAAUAACCCUGUCGCGGAUGACGUACCGGCAUAAGAAAGCAACCGGCUAACUAACGUGCCAGCACG